This 1177-nucleotide long non-coding RNA is filed under the name Nicotiana tabacum (common tobacco). RNAcentral describes it as "long non-coding RNA (NTAB_LNC000866)". The record is from RNAcentral. Lineage: Eukaryota; Viridiplantae; Streptophyta; Magnoliopsida; Solanales; Solanaceae.
CCGCACCAGUCCCGGUCUUGCGGUCUUUUUGUGAAGGACCGGCCCACCCCCACGGUCCCAGUUCUAACAUUAAGGCCCGUUUAGGACCAGAAGCCCACAUAGUCCGUGGUCCCGGGCCUGGACCAGUGCACAUGCCACCCUUAGAAAAAAACACACCUUUCCCUAGUCAGAAGCUCUUUGUGAAGCAACUUGGCCGAAUUUUAAAAUUCUACAACCUCCCAAUUUUGUAAGUUCCUCCUAAAACUCAAAUCCCAAUACACCCGAUUGAUGGGCAUUUCCUUUUGGCAUGGGAUUCUAUACAUGUUUGGAAAUGUGAUUCACAAAAUGUUGUCCCCGCACCACUUAUAUUCCCAAAAACUUACCCUACUCUCAUUACCCACUCUGAAUGAUGUGUUUCCAUUAAACUCUCCCCAACCCUUGAAUAUAUUUCUCUAUAGCCCGCACACAUUAAGUGAUACAUUUGUUGUUCUCCAACCAUCUUCGAAAACCCUAUACUUCUCCGCAAUCACCUCCUUUCAAAAAGCAUUCUCCUCUAUUCCGAAUCUCUAUAACCAGUUUCUCAGUAUAUAUUUGUUGUUCUCCAACCAUCUUCGAAAACCCCAUACUUCUCCGCAAUCACCUCCUUUCAAAAAACAUUCUCCUCUAUUCCGAAUCUCUAUAACCAGUUUCUCAGUAAUGCCUUGUUAAAAACGUUUGAUCUUUAAUCCAAUUCCACCCCAACACUUCGGUGUGGUGACAGUCUCCCAAUUUACCAAGUUAAACUUUCCCCAUUUGAACCAUCUCAUAGAAAAUCUCUCUACAUCUUUUCCAAACUUCCUUGUAACACUAACUGGAGCGUGUAACAAGGACCUGAAUUAUAUGGGGAUAACUCGAUUUUGCACUUCUGAUCAAUACUUCCUUCCUCUUCUGGAUAAGUACCUUUUUGCCGAACCUGCUAGCCUCUUUUAUACCCUUUCAAUUACCAGGUCCCAAACAGUUUGGUCCCUGUAGAAGCUCUUAAUGGUAAACCAAGAAAAGUUGUAGGAAGUGCCCUGACCUUGCAAUUGAAAACUUGUGCUAGGCCCUCAAUAUUGCCCAGGGAAACCUUCUAAUUGAAUGUAUUCUUUAUGUUGCUAAGCUCUUGCAGUCAUCUUUUAGGGCUUAUCAAAGCAAAGCAAGAUCAUACUUAUAUAUAGGG